This 507-nucleotide long non-coding RNA is filed under the name Oncorhynchus kisutch (coho salmon). Its description in RNAcentral is "lncRNA (ENSOKIG00005021412.1)". Lineage: Eukaryota; Metazoa; Chordata; Actinopteri; Salmoniformes; Salmonidae. The record is from RNAcentral.
ACCUCGGCUCCUUUAAGACCAAGCGAAACAUUCGCGACAUGAAAUCUGGAAAGACUGGUGACCAACCCUCCCACCCUCUCUUGUCUUGCGACCAAAACUAGUUUCAAGACGACCGGGCGAAAAUAUUUGUCUUUCCCUUGAAGGAACGGAUGAUUGAGGCGUCAACUUCCCGACAUUUCCUCCGACAUCUCCCCUCUCUAGACAAAAGUUUGUGGAUCCUCCAAGAGUUUGGGAACUAAAGAUUGAUAGAAAGCCUCCUUUUUCUGUAGGGGGGAACUUUGAAAACAUGGAUUGGGGGACGGAUCUUUGGGACCAGUAUGAUGGUAGAGGAGUGUGUUAUAUCAGUCCAGUAUCUAACCCUGUUCUGUCUCCUGUCUGUAGGACCAGUAUGAUGGUAGAGGAGUGUGUUGUAUCAGUCCAGUAUCUAACCCUGUUCUGUCUCUCCUGUCUGUAGGACAAGUAUGAUGGUAGAGGAGUGUGUUGUAUCAGUCCAGUAUCUAACCCUGU